This 21-nucleotide non-coding RNA is filed under the name Caenorhabditis elegans. The record is from RNAcentral. Lineage: Eukaryota; Metazoa; Nematoda; Chromadorea; Rhabditida; Rhabditidae.
UGCGGUAAACUUUCAGCAACA